RNAcentral lists this ribosomal RNA (252 nucleotides) under uncultured bacterium. RNAcentral describes it as "partial 16S ribosomal RNA". It matches the Rfam family "Bacterial small subunit ribosomal RNA", at positions 524 to 776 of the family's 1533-position model. The record is from RNAcentral.
UACGUAGGGGGCAAGCGUUGUCCGGAAUUAUUGGGCGUAAAGCGCGCGCAGGCGGUCAAUUAAGUUGGGUGUUUAAGCCCGGGGCUCAACCCCGGUUCGCAUCCAAAACUGGUUGACUUGAGUGUAGGAGAGGAAAGUGGAAUUCCACGUGUAGCGGUGAAAUGCGUAGAGAUGUGGAGGAACACCAGUGGCGAAGGCGACUUUCUGGCCUAUGACUGACGCUGAGGCGCGAAAGCGUGGGGAGCAAACAGG